UACAGAGGGGGCGAGCGUUGUUCGGAAUUACUGGGCGUAAAGGGCGCGUAGGCGGCCCGCUGAGUCGAACGUGAAAUCCCCAGGCUCAACCUGGGAACUGCGUCCGAUACUGGCAGGCUUGAAUCCGGGAGAGGGAUGUGGAAUUCCAGGUGUAGCGGUGAAAUGCGUAGAUAUCAGGAGGAACACCGGUGGCGAAGGCGGAUCUCUGGGCCGAUACUGACGCUGAGACGCGAAAGCGUGGGGAGCAAACAGG
RNAcentral lists this ribosomal RNA (253 nucleotides) under uncultured bacterium. RNAcentral describes it as "partial 16S ribosomal RNA". It matches the Rfam family "Bacterial small subunit ribosomal RNA", at positions 524 to 776 of the family's 1533-position model. The record is from RNAcentral.